UCCGUAGGCGGGCAAUUAAGUCAGAGGUGAAAUCCCACAGCUCAACUGUGGAACUGCCUUUGAUACUGGUUGUCUUGAGUUAUAGUGAAGUAGAUAGAACAUGUAGUGUAGCGGUGAAAUGCAUAGAUAUUACAUAGAAUACCGAUUGCGAAGGCAGUCUACUAACUGUAUACUGACGCUAAUGGACGAAAGCGUGGGGAGCGAACAGGAUUAGAUACCCUGGUAGUCC
RNAcentral lists this ribosomal RNA (229 nucleotides) under uncultured bacterium. RNAcentral's name for it is "partial 16S ribosomal RNA". It matches the Rfam family "Bacterial small subunit ribosomal RNA", at positions 568 to 796 of the family's 1533-position model. The record is from RNAcentral.